Molecule: ribosomal RNA, 522 nt
Filed under: uncultured bacterium
Lineage: Bacteria
Description: partial 16S ribosomal RNA
Rfam family: Bacterial small subunit ribosomal RNA (bases 15-389)
Source: RNAcentral
GAUGAACGCUGGCGGCGUGCUUAACACAUGCAAGUCGAACGAAGCAUUUAAGACAGAUUACUUCGGUUUGAAGUCUUUUAUGACUGAGUGGCGGACGGGUGAGUAACGCGUGGGUAACCUGCCUCAUACAGGGGGAUAGCAGCUGGAAACGGCUGGUAAUACCGCAUAAGCGCACAGUACCACAUGGUACAGUGUGAAAAACUCCGGUGGUAUGAGAUGGACCCGCGUCUGAUUAGCUUGUUGGCGGGGUAACGGCCCACCAAGGCGACGAUCAGUAGCCGGACGGAGAGGGUGAGCGGACACCACGGGGCGGCGGCACGAGAGAGACAUCGGCGGGAGAUGAGGGGGGAGAAUAGUGCAGAAUGGACGAGCAGCUGAGGCGGAGGCGCAGGGGGAAGAGAAAAGAAUGCCGAGAUGAAGAGCUCAAGCAGAGGGGAAGAAAACGACGGUACCGGCCAGAGAGGCCGCGAAAAAAGGCGAGACGGCGGCAGGGAGAAUACGGGGAAGAGCAGGCUGCUGAGC